Macaca mulatta (Rhesus monkey) is the source of this 1528-nucleotide non-coding RNA. Lineage: Eukaryota; Metazoa; Chordata; Mammalia; Primates; Cercopithecidae. The record is from RefSeq and is a predicted model, not a curated record.
AGUAGAGGUGGGGUUUCACCAUGUUGGCCAGGCUGGUCUUGAACUCCUGACCUCAAGUGAUCCACACACCUCAGCCUCCCAAAGUCCUAGGGUUACAGGCGUGAGCCACUGCACCUGGCCAGCCCUUUAAGUUUUUAAAGUCAGGUUUAUGGAGGUAUAAUUUACAUAGAGUAAAAUUAAACUUUGUUAGUGUACAGUUCUAUGAAUUUUGACAAAAGCAUACAGUUCUGUAACUACCACCACAGUCAACAUAUAAACCAUCUCUACAGAGAACUACAACUGCUUGUAGUUCACUCCCUCUCCUCACCCUUCUCUGGCAACUGCUGAUAUGUUUUCUGUCAUUAUAGUUUUGCCUUUUCCAGAUGUUAUAAAAUGGAAUCAUGUAAUAUGUAACCUUUUGAAAAGUCUAGCUUCUUCCACUUAGUAUUAUGCAUUUGGAAUUCAACCAAGUUGCAUGUAUCAGUAGUUCGUUCCUUUUUAUUGCUAAGUAGAAUUCCAUUGUGGAUAUACACAGUUUGCUUAUUCUUCUAUUGAUGGACACUUGUGUAAUUUUCAGUCUGAGACAAUAUGAAGAAAGCUACUCUAUACAUUAAGGUACAGAUUUUUGUAUGGAUAUAUGUUUGCAUUUCUCUUGGGUAAAGUCAAUACUGAAGAGUAGGAUUUACUGUGUUAUGUGGUAUGUGUUUAACUUUAUAAGUUAUAUGCCAAACUGUUUUCCAAAGUGUAUCAUUCUGCUUUCCCAACAGCAAUGGAUGAGAGCUUCAACUGCCCCACAUCCUUCCCUGCACAGUAUUGUCGGUUUCCUUCAUUCUGAUAGACAAUACCCUGUACUGCUUUCAUGGUCAUAAUAUCUGCAUCAUUUGGAGGAUAUUUUUCUUCAUCUCUCUGCUCAGUCUCUGUUUCAUGUGAGGCGUGUUUUAUCUAUACAUUUCAGUAUCUACUUUUUCAUGAUGACUAUUUCUCAGAUGUCUGUAAUCCUUGCUUGGCCACUCAUAUUUAAGAGUGAGUGACUAAAAAGUUGAGUGGAAGCUGUAAACACAUGAGUGGGGCUUGUCUAUUGUGACCUUAACUAUAUAUAUUUAGUGGUCUGUGUCAGUGUCCUAAGAACUUUCCUCCCGGUCUGGCCAGAUUUUGCAGAGAGGGAUCCUCUAAUUUCCUGCCUAGAUGGUAGAGGUCUGACUCAGUGUUCUGGAAUCUAGGUGGAGGAAAGGGUGAGGGAGGUCUCAGCACUCAGAAUACCUGCUUCCACUUAAAUCUCCUAUUUUCAUUAUGGCAUCCCCUCCCUUAAGUGUGGCCCUUAUCCAUUUGAGCAUUUCUCAUGCCUAACCUGGCAGGCAUUGUUAAUUGAGUAAAUGAACUGUGUAGUUUGUUAUUCUGUUACAUGGCUCUGUUGCAAAGAAACUUCUGAGCAUUCACUCUCAAUAUGUACAUAUCUAUUUAGAAAUUGCAUACUUUAUUGUUUUACUAAAUAUAUUAUGUACAUUAUAAAGCAAAUACAAAAUUAAUAAAGGCUGAGAUAAAAAUGAAA